UCUCCGUAGGUGAACCUGCGGAGGGAUCAUUACAGAGUUCAUGCCCUACCGGGUAGAUCUCCCACCCUAUGUUAUUAUUACUUUGUUGCUUUGGCGGGCCGUUAGGCUCCGGCCCGACUACCGGCCCCGGCUGGUAAGCGCCCGCCAGAGGACCCAAAACCCUGAAUAUUAGUGUCGUCUGAGUGCUAUAUAAUAGUUAAAACUUUCAACAACGGAUCUCUUGGCUCUG
Molecule: unclassified non-coding RNA, 229 nt
Filed under: plant metagenome
Description: partial contains small subunit ribosomal RNA, internal transcribed spacer 1, and 5.8S ribosomal RNA
Source: RNAcentral